Molecule: long non-coding RNA, 220 nt
Filed under: Elaeis guineensis (African oil palm)
Lineage: Eukaryota; Viridiplantae; Streptophyta; Magnoliopsida; Arecales; Arecaceae
Description: long non-coding RNA (EGUI_LNC033950)
Source: RNAcentral
GUAGGCAUUAUAUUGGCUAGGCCUGACUUGCUGGUCUAUUCAUUAAGACCUUGGCUGUUUGUCUGCAGGGUGCCUCAUAACCUCACCCGUCAUAAUGGCAAGUGGGAUUUGCCGAGAGAAUAAGUUGGGGAUUCACCCCAAAUCAAUCUGGGGCUACCACAUGGUGGACUGAAGCAGGUCAUGAAGUAUUUCACUAACUAUUCUUUGGUAAUGAAAGGGC